Molecule: ribosomal RNA, 253 nt
Filed under: uncultured bacterium
Lineage: Bacteria
Description: partial 16S ribosomal RNA
Rfam family: Bacterial small subunit ribosomal RNA
Source: RNAcentral
UACGGAGGGUGCAAACGUUGCUCGGAAUUACUGGGCGUAAAGAGCUCGUAGGUGGUUUGUCGCGUUGUUCGUGAAAACUCACAACUCAAUUGUGGGCGUGCGGGCGAUACGGGCAGACUGGAGUACUGCAGGGGAGACUGGAAUUCCUGGUGUAGCGGUGGAAUGCGCAGAUAUCAGGAGGAACACCGGUGGCGAAGGCGGUUCUCUGGGCAUGAUCUGACGCUGAGGAGCGAAAGUGUGGGGAGCGAACAGG